GCCUGAUCCAGCAAUGCCGCGUGUGUGAAGAAGGCCUUCGGGUUGUAAAGCACUUUUGUCCGGAAAGAAAUCCUUGGCUCUAAUACAGUCGGGGGAUGACGGUACCGGAAGAAUAAGCACCGGCUAACUACGUGCCAGCAGCCGCGGUAAUACGUAGGGUGCGAGCGUUAAUCGGAAUUACUGGGCGUAAAGCGUGCGCAGGCGGUUUGCUAAGACCGAUGUGAAAUCCCCGGGCUCAACCUGGGAACUGCAUUGGUGACUGGCAGGCUAGAGUAUGGCAGAGGGGGGUAGAAUUCCACGUGUAGCAGUGAAAUGCGUAGAGAUGUGGAGGAAUACCGAUGGCGAAGGCAGCCCCCUGGGCCAAUACUGACGCUCAUGCACGAAAGCGUGGGGAGCAAACAGGAUUAGAUACCCUGGUAGUCCACGCCCUAAACGAUGUCAACUAGUUGUUGGGGAUUCAUUUCCUUAGUAACGUAGCUAACGCGUGAAGUUGACCGCCUGGGGAGUACGGUCGCAAGAUUAAAACUCAAAGGAAUUGACGGGGACCCGCACAAGCGGUGGAUGAUGUGGAUUAAUUCGAUGCAACGCGAAAAACCUUACCUACCCUUGACAUGGUCGGAAUCCUGCUGAGAG
RNAcentral lists this ribosomal RNA (633 nucleotides) under Burkholderia sp. IBa309. Its description in RNAcentral is "bacterial SSU rRNA". It matches the Rfam family "Bacterial small subunit ribosomal RNA", at positions 381 to 1007 of the family's 1533-position model. RNAcentral also lists the same sequence under 2 other names. The record is from RNAcentral. Lineage: Bacteria; Pseudomonadati; Pseudomonadota; Betaproteobacteria; Burkholderiales; Burkholderiaceae.